UACAGAGGUCUCAAGCGUUGUUCGGAUUCAUUGGGCGUAAAGGGUGCGUAGGUGGCGCGGUAAGUCGGGUGUGAAAUCUCGGAGCUUAACUCCGAAAUUGCAUUCGAUACUGCCGUGCUUGAGGACUGGAGAGGAGACUGGAAUUCAUGGUGUAGCAGUGAAAUGCGUAGAGAUCGGGAGGAACAUCCGUGGCGAAGGCGACUACCUGGACCAGCACUGACACUGAGGCACGAAAGCGUGGGGAGCAAACAGG
Molecule: ribosomal RNA, 253 nt
Filed under: uncultured bacterium
Lineage: Bacteria
Description: partial 16S ribosomal RNA
Rfam family: Bacterial small subunit ribosomal RNA
Source: RNAcentral